Mandrillus leucophaeus (drill) is the source of this 485-nucleotide long non-coding RNA. RefSeq lists it as uncharacterized. Lineage: Eukaryota; Metazoa; Chordata; Mammalia; Primates; Cercopithecidae. The transcript is spliced from 3 exons. The record is from RefSeq and is a predicted model, not a curated record.
CAGCCUUUACGCUGGGAUGUAUCAUGUGAGGUGUUUUGAACCUAAAAGAAACCCCAAAGAGAACCUCCUCUUGGAAUCUGAACAGGAUCUCACCUGGACUCCUAUCAUUUUAUCCGUGAGACAGAUCUUAUCCCAGAAAUACUUUUACCUUUUUCUGAUCAUGAAUUUCUUUCGAGUCUUUAACCUUCUUCAGCAACUUCAUGAUGAUCUUUGCAGAUAUUCUCAUUCUCAGAGAUGUACUAUCUUCUUCCAUAAGGAGCAUUAUGUAGGGGGCAGGCUUUAUUUGCCCACAGUGCCUUGUACUUAUCAGUCAGUCCUGGCUGAAAAAGUUUGGUUACUAUAAGAUCAUCUUAAUUUCUUUCUAUCUACAAGGAACAGCCUCCACUGUCAUGUUACUCCUGGGAAAGCAAUACUAUUACUGUUUGGCUCUUUAUCUCACUAUUAUCAUGGUUAUUGUGCAAGCUUCGGUUUCCUUGUUUACCCUG